RNAcentral lists this ribosomal RNA (442 nucleotides) under uncultured bacterium. RNAcentral describes it as "partial 16S ribosomal RNA". It matches the Rfam family "Bacterial small subunit ribosomal RNA", at positions 338 to 795 of the family's 1533-position model. The record is from RNAcentral.
CCUACGGGAGGCAGCAGUGGGGAAUAUUGGGCAAUGGGCGAAAGCCUGACCCAGCAACGCCGCGUGAAGGAAGAAGGCUUUCGGGUUGUAAACUUCUUUUGACAGGGAAGAGCAGAAGACGGUACCUGUCGAAUAAGCCACGGCUAACUACGUGCCAGCAGCCGCGGUAAUACGUAGGUGGCAAGCGUUAUCCGGAUUUACUGGGUGUAAAGGGCGUGUAGGCGGGGACGCAAGUCAGAUGUGAAAACCACGGGCUCAACCUGUGGCCUGCAUUUGAAACUGUGUUUCUUGAGUACUGGAGAGGCAGACGGAAUUCCUAGUGUAGCGGUGAAAUGCGUAGAUAUUAGGAGGAACACCAGUGGCGAAGGCGGUCUGCUGGACAGCAACUGACGCUGAGGCGCGAAAGCGUGGGGAGCAAACAGGAUUAGAUACCCGGGUAGUC